UUAAAUGGUUGCAGUAUAAUUAACUGUGCAAAGGUAGCAUAAUCAAUUGGUUUUUAAAUGAAAUCUGGAAUGAAAGGAUUAAUGAAAUAUAUACUGUCUCAUAUUUAUUUUAUAAAUUUAAAAUUUUAAUAAAAAUGUUAAAAUUUUUUUAUGGGACGAUAAGACCCUAUAGAAUUUUAUAUUAAAUUAAUUUUAUAAUUAAAUAUAAAAUUUAAUUUAAUAUUUAAUUGGGAGAAUUAUUAAAUUUAAUAAAUUUUAAUUAAUAUAAACUUUAAUUAAAGAAAAUUUAUUGAUUUUUUAUUAAAAAUUAUUAGAUUAAAUUACCUUAGGGAUAACAGCGUAAUAUUUUUUUAUAGAUCAUAUAGAAAAAAAUGAUUGCGACCUCGAUGUUGAAUUAAGAUAAAUUUUAAAUACAGAA
This 418-nucleotide ribosomal RNA is filed under the name Plebeia julianii. RNAcentral's name for it is "partial 16S large subunit ribosomal RNA". The record is from RNAcentral. Lineage: Eukaryota; Metazoa; Arthropoda; Insecta; Hymenoptera; Apidae.